Molecule: ribosomal RNA, 466 nt
Filed under: uncultured bacterium
Lineage: Bacteria
Description: partial 16S ribosomal RNA
Rfam family: Bacterial small subunit ribosomal RNA
Source: RNAcentral
CUACGGGUUGCUGCAGUGGGGAAUAUUGGACAAUGGGGGAAACCCUGAUCCAGCAAUGCCGCGUGUGUGAAGAAGGCCUGCGGGUUGUAAAGCACUUUCGGUUGGGAGGACUGCUUCUAGCACUAAUAUUGUUGGAAGUUGACGUUACCUUCAGAAGAAGCACCGGCUAACUCCGUGCCAGCAGCCGCGGUAAUACGGAGGGUGGCAAGCGUUAAUCGGAAUUACUGGGCGUAAAGCGCGCGUAGGCGGCUAGAUCAGUCGGGUGUGAAAGCCCCGGGCUUAACCUGGGAACUGCAUCCGAUACUGUCUAGCUUGAGUAGAGGAGGGGAGAGUGGAAUUCCACAUGUAGCGGUGAAAUGCGUAGAUAUGUGGAGGAACACCAAUGGCGAAGGCAGCUUUCUGGCCUGAUACUGACGCUGAGGUGCGAAAGCGUGGGGAGCAAACAGGAUUAGAUACCCUCGUAGUC